AGUGAACGCUGGCGGUAGGCCUAACACAUGCAAGUCGAACGGCAGCACAGUAAGAGCUUGCUCUUACGGGUGGCGAGUGGCGGACGGGUGAGGAAUACAUCGGAAUCUACUUUUUCGUGGGGGAUAACGUAGGGAAACUUACGCUAAUACCGCAUACGACCUACGGGUGAAAGCAGGGGAUCUUCGGACCUUGCGCGAUUGAAUGCGCCGAUGUCGGAUUAGCUAGUUGGCGGGGUAAAGGCCCACCAAGGCGACGAUCCGUAGCUGGUCUGAGAGGAUGAUCAGCCACACUGGAACUGAGACACGGUCCAGACUCCUACGGGAGGCAGCAGUGGGGAAUAUUGGACAAUGGGCGCAAGCCUGAUCCAGCCAUACCGCGUGGGUGAAGAAGGCCUUCGGGUUGUAAAGCCCUUUUGUUGGGAAAGAAAAGCAGCAGGUUAAUACCCCGCUGUUCCGACGGUACCCAAAGAAUAAGCACCGGCUAACUUCGUG
This 492-nucleotide ribosomal RNA is filed under the name uncultured bacterium. RNAcentral's name for it is "partial 16S ribosomal RNA". It matches the Rfam family "Bacterial small subunit ribosomal RNA", at positions 29 to 507 of the family's 1533-position model. The record is from RNAcentral.